AACCGGCCAGCUCGCUCCCGUGCCCAACUUUGCCACGGCACCGUCCGUGCGUGACGCCGCGACACUCCUCUUCUCUACGCUGUGCUGCCCUUCCUCCUUCUGCACGUGCCCAUCCCUCCUCUCCUCCUCAGACCACGCCAGCCUUCCUGCUCACGCUUGAGCUCGUCACCGCAGCCUGCCAUGGCCACCGAGAUCCGCUCGGCGGUGAACUCCCACUUCCGGUCAUCAUCUCCGACAACCAAAGGCUAAAAUCGACUUUCCUCGACUCAUUGAUGCUCGUGCUCUCCUCGUUCCAGCGCGUUCCGCGAGUUUCCGCGCUCGUUCCCGAGCCAUGCCACCGCCGGCAUGCUGUUGCUCGCCGCGAGCCGCGCGCACGCGCCUCUGUGCCGCGCCGCCGAGCGCCUCCACUCCGCCCGGCCCUGCUGAACCCUCCCAUGGCCGCCCCAUCACCAACCUGUCUCGCCGCAGGCGAGGGUGCUGCCGCCAUUGCCGCUCGUGCUGCUGCUCCCGUCGCCGGCCCUCCUCCGGCCACCUCGGCAUCAACUGAGACCACCCAGAGUUACGAUAGAUGAACCAUAUGAAGGACGUGCUAUUGGAGCCGAACCCGAAGACGAUGUUGGUGGACAUAUCCUGAAGACGGAUGGAUGGAACCUGAUGUGCAUGACCAAAGAAAGAUGCUCGCCAAGCGAGUAUUAUCUAACUAACACUGACUUAGUGUUAAUCCCAGGCAAGCCCCGGUGCACAUCCUAUUAUUUCAAAUUUAUGACACCUAUAUAUGUUUCUAUUACUUGUGCAUUA
This is a long non-coding RNA of Panicum virgatum (switchgrass), 798 nucleotides long. RefSeq lists it as uncharacterized. The record is from RefSeq and is a predicted model, not a curated record. NCBI's taxonomy places the organism in Eukaryota, Viridiplantae, Streptophyta, Magnoliopsida, Poales, Poaceae. The transcript is spliced from 2 exons.